This 571-nucleotide ribosomal RNA is filed under the name Trifolium haussknechtii. Its description in RNAcentral is "eukaryotic LSU rRNA". The stretch from base 115 to 270 matches the Rfam family "5.8S ribosomal RNA". Lineage: Eukaryota; Viridiplantae; Streptophyta; Magnoliopsida; Fabales; Fabaceae. The record is from RNAcentral. RNAcentral also lists the same sequence under 2 other names.
AACACAAACCCCGACGCUGAAUGCGUCAAGGAAUUUAAAAUUUUCUCCGACCGCACCUGCAUGUCACCGGAGACGGUUUACGUGCGGGUUGUGUUCUGACACACAAUAUAGAAUGACUCUCGGCAACGGAUAUCUAGGCUCUUGCAUCGAUGAAGAACGUAGCGAAAUGCGAUACUUGGUGUGAAUUGCAGAAUCCCGUGAACCAUCGAGUCUUUGAACGCAAGUUGCGCCCGAUGCCAUUAGGUUGAGGGCACGUCUGCCUGGGUGUCACAUAUCGAAGCCUCUUGCCAAUUUCCUAUCGAUGGGUAUUGUGCAGGGUGAAUGUUGGCCUCCCGUGAGCUCCAUCAUCUCAUGGUUGGUUGAAAAUCGAGACCUUGGUAGGGUGUGCCAUGAUAGAUGGUGGAUGUGUUACGCACGAGACCAAGAAGUCAUGUGCUGCGCUCUAUCGAAUUUAGCCUCUUUUACCCACAUGCGUUUCUAAAUGCUCGUGAUGAGACCUCAGGUCAGGCGGGGCUACCCGCUGAAUUUAAGCAUAUCAAUAAGCGGAGGAAAAGAAACUAACAAGGAUUCC